This 460-nucleotide ribosomal RNA is filed under the name uncultured bacterium. Its description in RNAcentral is "partial 16S ribosomal RNA". It matches the Rfam family "Bacterial small subunit ribosomal RNA", at positions 338 to 795 of the family's 1533-position model. The record is from RNAcentral.
CCUACGGGGCGCAGCAGUGAGGAAUAUUGGUCAAUGGACGGAAGUCUGAACCAGCCAUGCCGCGUGCAGGAAGACGGCUCUAUGAGUUGUAAACUGCUUUUGUACAAGGGUAAACCUGAAUACGUGUAUUCAGCUGAAAGUACUGUACGAAUAAGGAUCGGCUAACUCCGUGCCAGCAGCCGCGGUAAUACGGAGGAUCCAAGCGUUAUCCGGAUUUAUUGGGUUUAAAGGGUGCGUAGGCGGAUUGAUAAGUUAGAGGUGAAAUGUCCGAGCUUAACUCGGGAACUGCCUCUAAUACUGUUGGUCUAGAGAGUAGAUGCGGUAGGCGGAAUGUAUGGUGUAGCGGUGAAAUGCUUAGAGAUCAGACAGAACACCGGUUGCGAAGGCAGCUUACCAAUCUAUAUCUGACGUUGAGGCACGAAAGCGUGGGGAGCAAACAGGAUUAGAUACCCGAGUAGUC